Molecule: long non-coding RNA, 498 nt
Filed under: Parus major (Great Tit)
Lineage: Eukaryota; Metazoa; Chordata; Aves; Passeriformes; Paridae
Description: lncRNA (ENSPMJG00000004455.1)
Source: RNAcentral
UCCAGAUUAAAAAGAAGAAUUUAAUGUCAUAACAAAAUAACAAAAGGAAAGCUGCAUGCAAUGAAAAGAUAGGAAAUGUGUUUUUUCCAGAAAGGAGUCUCCAGACAUCAAGUUAAACGUGAUGAGAGAUGGACAGAGCACAGCUGGAGUCAUUCCUGGAGCAGAAGGAGGAGCUCAGGGAAGAAACUGCCACCAGCCCUGAGUUCCUCAUGAUGACAAAUUCUGGUCUUCAGCUGCCUUCCCUGAAGAAUUCCCAAUAUUUUAUCCUGAAGUGCUGCUUUUGCAGAAACUUUCUGGCCUGGUUUGUAUUUUCCUGUCAGGAUCCUUGCAUCCUCAAGGCAGAUAAACCUCAUGCCAUUUGGUCUAAAUGCAGGUGUUUGGUACCUCAGUGGUGCUUUGGUCUCUUUUUUAUUCUCUUCCAUCUGGUAAGAAAUCCUUUUGUUUUAUUUUUCUCCUUCUGUCCUCUUCUUUUAAGUAACAUUUUUAACAUUAUUUUUC